CCAAUAGCGUAUAUUAAAGUUGUUGCAAUUAAAAAGCUCGUAGUUGAAUUUCGGGAUCAGUACGCUGGUCGUGCCUCUGGUAUGUACUGGUGUCACUGAUUCCUCCCUUCUGACGAACCAUCAUGCCAUUCACUUGGUGUGGUGGGGAAUCAGGACUGUUACUUUGAAAAAAUUAGAGUGUUUAAAGCAGGCUCACGCUUGAAUACAUUAGCAUGGAAUAAUGAAAUAGGACGUUGAUCCUAUUUUGUUGGUUUCUAGGAUUGACGUAAUGAUUAAUAGGGAUAGUUGGGGGCAUUAGUAUUCAAUUGUCAGAGGUGAAAUUCUUGGAUUUAUUGAAGACUAACUACUGCGAAAGCAUUUGCCAAGGAUGUUUUCAUUAAUCAAGAACGAAAGUUAGGGGAUCGAAGACGAUCAGAUACCGUCGUAGUCUUAACCAUAAACUAUGCCGACUAGGGAUCGGAUGAUGUUAAUUUUUUAAUGACUCAUUCGGCGCCUUACG
This 499-nucleotide ribosomal RNA is filed under the name uncultured Glomeromycotina. RNAcentral describes it as "partial small subunit ribosomal RNA". It matches the Rfam family "Eukaryotic small subunit ribosomal RNA", at positions 591 to 1092 of the family's 1831-position model. The record is from RNAcentral. Lineage: Eukaryota; Fungi; Glomeromycota.